RNAcentral lists this ribosomal RNA (468 nucleotides) under uncultured bacterium. RNAcentral describes it as "partial 16S ribosomal RNA". It matches the Rfam family "Bacterial small subunit ribosomal RNA", at positions 28 to 507 of the family's 1533-position model. The record is from RNAcentral.
GACGAACGCUGGCGGCGUGCUUAACACAUGCCAGUCGAACGGAAAGGCCCUGCUUUUGUGGGGUGCUCGAGUGGCGAACGGGUGAGUAACACGUGAGUAACCUGCCCUUGACUUUGGGAUAACUUCAGGAAACUGGGGCUAAUACCGGAUAGGAGCUCCUGCUGCAUGGUGGGGGUUGGAAAGUUUCGGCGGUUGGGGAUGGACUCGCGGCUUAUCAGCUUGUUGGUGGGGUAGUGGCUUACCAAGGCUUUGACGGGUAGCCGGCCUGAGAGGGUGACCGGCCACAUUGGGACUGAGAUACGGCCCAGACUCCUACGGGAGGCAGCAGUGGGGAAUAUUGCACAAUGGGCGGAGGCCUGAUGCAGCAACGCCGCGUGCGGGAUGACGGCCUUCGGGUUGUAAACCGCCUUCGCCUGUGACGAAGCGUGAGUGACGGUAAUGGGUAAAGAAGCACCGGCUAACUACGUG